CUUCCUACAUGUUGUCAUCCCUAUAACCUGUCUGCUACUUCCCAGGGCACUUUGCAGAGCCUAGGCCAAGGUCGUCUUUGGUUGGCUGGCAUGUCAGUUGGGAGCUUGUCCCACUGAUGUAGUUGCAUGAGCUGGGGUUGAAGCUGAAGAUACCACUUUAAUUUAGUAGCUGUUUUGUGAUGACUGCUUAACUCGGGCUCAGUUUUUAAGCUGCUACUCAGCUAAUUCUCCAGGAGAGAGGCUGUUCUGAUCUGAUGGAACCAGGUUUUGCCUGGCAUCUUGCUUUGCACCUCAGAAGGUCCAACUGCUGUAAAAGGUCUUCUCUGGUGGUGGUGAUAAUCUUGCCCUUUUACACACCAGUAUGAAGCACAAGCACUAGACUGUGGACUUCAACCCCUUCUUCCACUUGCACCUGCACACCAGGGUGAGCUAAGAACCACGUUGGAGGGGAUGGGGGGGACUGUAUGUGACUGCUCACAGGAGCCUCUGAUUACAUUCUGCCAUCCAGCAGAAAGGGAUAAUUGGGGUAACUCCCUUCUACUGCAUCCCAGCAGCGUCGGCACACAAAUAUCUCUGACAAGCACAUUUUGCCUUUUAGGAAUGAGCCAGGUAUCAUCAAGUGUAGGGGAAGCAAGACUUUUCCAGGGAGAGGCGGGACACCUCUGGGCCUCUCACCAUCGCCUCUCACUUCCAGUGGCCCAGGUUCAGCAGCAGGCUGUUCUGUCAGGAUAGUCAGUAUGUAUUUCAGGAGCCAAUUAUAGACAUAUAUUGUUUUAUUUGUUGUUGUUAUGCAGCUUCCAGGAGAACACAAACCUCACACCACUUCGAGCAGUGCCAGCCACGUUGCUGCUACUGCUUUUUGAAGAGCAUGUUUCUGAUGGGGGUGAUAAAGUGGGGUAAUACCCCUGGGCCAUGCAAGCCUUCCUGUGAUGGUGUUGAUGCUCUUUCUGAAGUGUGCUCAUCUGGAAUAAUGUUUCAAGGAAGUCUGUACAAUUAUCUUUGCCAAUGCUGGGGGGCAGUUAACACUGUCUGCUGUUAGGUACCCACUAAGAGACUGGCUCAGCUCCGAGCCACAAAUUCUCUGAAUCUUUUAUAGGGAAGAAAAGAGGGUGUAAUUCAGAGCAGCAAAGUAGCUAGGCCAUGUCUCUGAAACCUGCACCCAUCAUUCACUGCAGAGGAAGCCCAGGGAGUCUUAACUGCCUCCAGCCUUAGACAUCAGCGUUGAGUACCUGAAGUUAGGUAUGGUAAACCAUGCAAAAAAAAAAAAAAAAAAAAAAAAAAAGGCAAGGCGAUGCUUGGCACCUUUUAGCAGCAUCCAUUUCACUGUGAUUGUGUCUCUUGAGCCACUGUGGUGAGAGUGUGCACCCCUUGGCUUAGGUGAGUGCGUGGGUACUGGUGAGUGUUGGGGUGCUGUGGAGAUGUAAUUGUGCUUUCACAUGGAAUUUGGACCACACUGGUGCCUAAGUGACUUUCCAGACACCAGGCAAGAACUCCACUUUGUGCUGAAUGGUGCUAGAAGAAAUAGAUGGUUGAUGAUACAUUGCAGUGAAGCCUUGGAUCCAGCUGCUUUCAGAGGAAAAGAGGGCAGAGGAAAGCUUGUCUGCCUGGGCUGAACUAAGCAGCUUUCUCUGUCCUUGCCUGUCUGUGGAGCCAGGAGUGCAAGUUUACAACAUCAGGGCAGCAAGAGACUGAGAGAAGGGGAUGGAAAAUGCUGUUGAAAUGGUUGUCAAGGUUGUGAGCCAAGGUCAGGCUGUGCCAAAGAACAGGCCAGGCUUUGAGGAUGUGCCAGAUACAGCAGCAGAGAUAGCUCUGGAAGAAGACCCAAGAUGAGACACCUGCCCUCUAGAGGAGUGACCCCUGCAACCCUGAGGUCACUGCUGAGCUGAGCAGAAGAGGGAGCACCUAUGUAGGAAUAGGAGGACCUGAGCUGUAACCAGUCCUUGGAGCACUGGUCGCCGGUGCUGCUCCUGGAGCAUUCCAGGAGCAAAAGCAAGUGUUUGGGCCAGAGGGCUGCCUUGCAGCAGACUACAUAAUUCCUAGCAGAAAUACAGCUGCAGGAGCAGAAGUAUCAUAGCACUUAGCUUGAGAAGAUGCUAUUGCGUAUAGAGGCAAAGGUGGCUGUUGUGUUCUUAGAUGGUCUUUUUACCAAUGCCAUAGAGACCUUCCCCUUCGCUCUGCCAGGGCUGUGUCGUAGGGUGGCAGCAGCUUAUGUGGUCCUUAUCAGUAUUCCCAAAGGCUGCAUCACUGCCAGCCUUCCAGCGAGACUGUGAUGAUAGUCUGUAAGGCUGUACACCGUAAGGUAUGUUGGACUGGCAGUAGUUUGUAGCUGGGACUUUGCUUUUUUUUUUUUUUGUGCUCAAUAAAGGCAACUUACACCAUU
Molecule: long non-coding RNA, 2380 nt
Organism: Aquila chrysaetos chrysaetos
Lineage: Eukaryota; Metazoa; Chordata; Aves; Accipitriformes; Accipitridae
Exons: 2
Source: RefSeq, a predicted model, not a curated record